GAUGAACGCUAGCGGCAGGCUUAAUACAUGCAAGUUGAGGGGCAGCAUGAUAUACGCGAGUAUAUUGAUGGCGACCGGCGGACGGGUGAGUAAUAGGUAGGAGACCUACCUCAUACAGGGGGAUAGCAUAGAGAAAUCUGUGGUAAUACCCCAUGAGGUUAUAUGAAUAGAGGCAUAUAAUCAAAGCAUAAGCGAUUAUGCGGUAUGAGAGGGGCCUACUGACCAUUAGCUAGUUGGUGAGGUAAGGGCUCACCAAGGCGAAGAUGGUUAGGGGUUUUGAGAGAGAGACCCCCCACAUUGGAACUGAGAGACGGUCCAGACUCCUACGGGAGCAGCAGUAGGGAAUAUUGGGCAAUGGGCGAAAGCCUGACCCAGCGACGCCGCGUGGAGGAAGAAGUCCUUCGGGGCGUAAACUCCUGGACUGGGGACGAGGAAGGACGGUACCCGACGUAGAAAGGGACGGCUAACUACGUGCCAGCAGCCGCGGUAAAAUAGCGUA
This 499-nucleotide ribosomal RNA is filed under the name uncultured bacterium. RNAcentral describes it as "bacterial SSU rRNA". It matches the Rfam family "Bacterial small subunit ribosomal RNA", at positions 28 to 529 of the family's 1533-position model. The record is from RNAcentral.